Molecule: unclassified non-coding RNA, 404 nt
Filed under: soil metagenome
Description: partial contains 5.8S ribosomal RNA, internal transcribed spacer 2, and large subunit ribosomal RNA
Rfam family: 5.8S ribosomal RNA (bases 1-121)
Source: RNAcentral
GAUGAAGAACGUAGCGAAAUGCGAUAAGUAAUGUGAAUUGCAGAAUUCAGUGAAUCAUCGAAUCUUUGAACGCACCUUGCGCCCUUUGGCUAUUCCGAAGGGCAUGCCUGUUUGAGUAUCAUGAACACCUCAACUCUCAUGGUUUGCCAUGAUGAGCUUGGACUUUGGGGGUCUUGCCGGCCUAUGGGUCGGCUCCUCUCAAAUUAAUCAGCUUGCCAGUGUUUGGUGGCAUCACAGGUGUGAUAACUAUCUACGCUUGUGGUUUUCCAUCAGGUAACCUUCAGUGAUGGGGGUUCGCUGGGGCUCAUAAAUGUCUCUCCUCAGUGAGGACAGCUUUUUUGAACGUUUGAUCUCAAAUCAGGUAGGACUACCCGCUGAACUUAAGCAUAUCAAUAAGCGGAGGA